CUAAGAAUAUUCCGCAAUGGACGAAAGUCUGACGGAGCGACGCCGCGUGGAUGAAGAAGGCCGCAAGGUUGUAAAAUCCUUUUGCUGGGGAAGAAUAAGUCUGGGAGGGAAUGCCCGGAUGAUGACAUGAACCGGCGAAUAAGCCCCGGCCAACUACGUGCCAGCAGCCGCGGUAACACGUAGGGGGCGAGCGUUGUUCGGAAUUACUGGGCGUAAAGGGCAUGUAGGCGGUUUUGUAAGCUUGGCGUGAAAGACCACGGCUCAACCGUGGGGUUGCGUUGAGAACUGCGAAGCUUGAGUUAUGGAGAGGGAGCUAGAAUUCCUGGUGUAGGGGUGGAAUCUGUAGAGAUCAGGAAGAAUGCCAAUGGCGAAGGCAAGCUCCUGGCCGAUGACUGACGCUGAGGUGCGAAAGUGUGGGGAUCAAACA
Molecule: ribosomal RNA, 427 nt
Filed under: uncultured prokaryote
Description: bacterial SSU rRNA
Rfam family: Bacterial small subunit ribosomal RNA
Source: RNAcentral